RNAcentral lists this unclassified non-coding RNA (279 nucleotides) under plant metagenome. RNAcentral describes it as "partial contains small subunit ribosomal RNA, internal transcribed spacer 1, and 5.8S ribosomal RNA". The record is from RNAcentral.
UUUCCGUAGGUGAACCUGCGGAAGGAUCAUUAUAGUAUAACCGAGGUGCGAGGGCUGUCGCUGACCUGAAAGGUCGUGCACUCCCGAGUGCCCCCACACACAUCCAUCUCACCCCUAUGUGCACCACCGCGUGGGUCCCCACUCGGGUGGUUCGGUGGGGUGCCUACGUUUUCAUCCAAACUUUGUAUGCAGUCUAGAAUGAAUGUUUUGUUUUUGCUAUCACCCAAUCAAUACAACUUUAAACAACGGACAUCUGGGCUUUCGCAUCGUUGAAGAACC